Molecule: non-coding RNA, 73 nt
Organism: Bos taurus (domestic cattle)
Lineage: Eukaryota; Metazoa; Chordata; Mammalia; Artiodactyla; Bovidae
Source: Rfam
UCCCUGGUGGUCCAGUGGUUAGGACUCGGCGCUUUCACUGCUGAAGGCACAAGUUCAAUCCCUGGUCAGGGAA